GGGCCGGUAGCUCAGGCAGGAAGAGCAGCGGAUUUUUAAUCCGUUGGCCCCAGGUUCAAGUCCUGGCCGGCCCA
This 74-nucleotide transfer RNA is filed under the name Deltaproteobacteria bacterium. RNAcentral's name for it is "tRNA-Lys". It matches the Rfam family "tRNA". From Rfam's summary of the family: Transfer RNA (tRNA) molecules are approximately 80 nucleotides in length. The record is from RNAcentral. Lineage: Bacteria; Pseudomonadati; Myxococcota; Myxococcia.